Molecule: long non-coding RNA, 580 nt
Organism: Nannospalax galili (Upper Galilee mountains blind mole rat)
Lineage: Eukaryota; Metazoa; Chordata; Mammalia; Rodentia; Spalacidae
Exons: 3
Source: RefSeq, a predicted model, not a curated record
UUGGCAAGGGAGAGUGGAAAUAACCUCGGCAAUGCUAGGCUAUAUUGGUGGUCAGGGGCAGAGGAUUCCAGUCCAUUGCGGUUAGCUCUCCUGCCUCUGCCAUUUAGGAGAGAGCCAGGGCUUCAGCCUCCUGCGGUGUCUGUUGUAAAGGACCCUGGAGGGAGUGGCUCAUCCUAGCUGUAGAAAGUGAGCUUAUUUAUUUUUUUCCUUUUAAAGAAUUACAUUUCAUAAGCGUUUCCGAGUAGUUGAAGGGAAUAUGAACGACUUCCAGAGAGAACGUGGACACAUUAGGUUAACCAAAAAGCUGGAAACCGCCAUAGAUGCAAAGUCUGUUGAGAGCGAGUUUCUUGAAGAGUCACUUGCUGAACUCCACUAGCAUCACCUCUCUGCCCUAAAUAUUUGGCAUAGAUAUGGCCUCAAUAAAAAGCAAAGAAGACUCAAAUUGUUGAAUUACAGAAUGAAUGAACAAUGUCUUCAUCUCUAGAGAGAGAAGAUGGAGGUUAUGGCAGAGUUCACUACUGGUCACACCCUGAGAAUAUACCCCUGAGAGAAGCCUAUUCCUAGGUGACAUAUCUACAGU